Molecule: long non-coding RNA, 224 nt
Filed under: Amborella trichopoda
Lineage: Eukaryota; Viridiplantae; Streptophyta; Magnoliopsida; Amborellales; Amborellaceae
Description: long non-coding RNA (ATRI_LNC004108)
Source: RNAcentral
AGGUGUCCAGCUCAAUCGUCUCUAUCCUCUUCUUCUUAGCUAUGCUUUUUCAGUAUAGGAAAGGAGAAGGACUCAACUUCUUAGGAGGUAUAUGCUUCUCACUCCUCUUCGGAGGAAUGGACAUUGGAUCACUGACUGCAUGAACGUGAGCCUUUGAGAUGUUCGUUAAUUGAGAGCACCGUGUUCUACCCUCAGAAACCAAUUUGGGAGCUGGUUCUUUGAGA